UACGUAGGCGGAAGAUUAAGUCAGUGGUGAAAUCCUGCAGCUUAACUGUAGAACUGUCAUUGAUACUGGUUUUCUUGAAUAUAGUUGAGGUAGGCGGAAUGUGUAAUGUAGCGGUGAAAUGCUUAGAUAUUACACAGAACACCGAUUGCGAAGGCAGCUUACUAAGCUAUGAUUGACGCUGAGGUACGAAAGCGUGGGGAGCGAACAGGAUUAGAUACCCUGGUAGUCC
RNAcentral lists this ribosomal RNA (229 nucleotides) under uncultured bacterium. RNAcentral's name for it is "partial 16S ribosomal RNA". It matches the Rfam family "Bacterial small subunit ribosomal RNA", at positions 568 to 796 of the family's 1533-position model. The record is from RNAcentral.